GCCGAAUUAUAACAUAAACACAAGCAUAUUUCAAAUUAUUAAAACAAACCAUUUGAUACACUAAGUAGAUGUGAUCGAACAGUAAAUAAUCCCCACACAGUACCGUAAGGGAAACUAACAAGCAAAAAACAGCAAAGAUUAACCCUUGUACCUUUCGCAUCAUGGUCUAGCAAGAAACUAAGGACAAGAAGACUCACAGCCCAUACCCCGAAACCAGAUGAGCUACUUUAAAGCAGCCCAAUAGAGCACACCCUUCUCUGUAGCAAAAGAGUGGGAAGACUUAAAAGUAGAGGUGAAACGCCAAUCGAAUCUGGAGAUAGCUGGCUACCCAAAAAAGAAUAUUAGUUCCACCUUAGGCCACUUAAAUACCAACUAAUUAUGCCUAAAGAGAUUCAAUAGGGGUACAGCUCUAUUGAAACAGGAUACAACCUGACUUUGUGAGCACACCUCACCCAACCAUGACCCGUAGGCCUUAAAGCAGCCAUCUAACAAAAUAUCGUUAUAGAAUUAGACACUAAAUUAAAAAACACAACAAAAACUCCAAACUAACUAAGGGUAAACCCACUACCGUGGGUUCUAUUAUGCUAGAACUAAUAAUAAGACAACCUCUCUACACGCACCCAUCCGCUAGAAACAGAAAGACUACUAGCCAUUAACAGACCACAAUAGGAAAUCAACAAACAAUACACACCAAAAUAAACACUGUGAACCCAACACAGGUGCGUCAAAAAGAAAGAUCAACCAUUAUAAAAGGAACUCGGCAACCAAAGACCCCAACUGUUUAACAAAAACAUAACCUUUAGCCACAAACAAGUAUUAAAGGCAACGCCUGCCCAGUGAACAAUUAAACGGCCGCGGUACCCUAA
This 866-nucleotide ribosomal RNA is filed under the name Myrrophis chinensis (Chinese water snake). Its description in RNAcentral is "partial 16S ribosomal RNA". The stretch from base 207 to 324 matches the Rfam family "Bacterial large subunit ribosomal RNA", at positions 714 to 852 of the family's 2925-position model. The record is from RNAcentral. Lineage: Eukaryota; Metazoa; Chordata; Lepidosauria; Squamata; Homalopsidae.